ACACGUAGGGGGCGAGCGUUGUUCGGAAUCAUUGGGCGUAAAGGGCGCGCAGGCGGCGAGGCAAGUCCGGUGUGAAAGUGCUCGGCUCAACCGAGUGAUGCGCUGGAAACUGCCCUGCUUGAGUACAGGAGGGGACGUCGGAAUUCCAGGUGUAGGGGUGAAAUCUGUAGAUAUCUGGAAGAACACCGGUGGCGAAGGCGGACGGCUGGCCAUGCACUGACGCUGAGGCGCGAAGGGGCGGGGAGCGAACAGGUUUAGAUACCCUGGUAGUCCGCACAGUAGACGAUGUGCACCAGGUGGCGGGGGGUAGCCCUCGGUACCGAAGCCACCGCAUUAAGUACACCGCCUGGGGAGUAUGCUCGCAAGGGUGAAACUCAAAGGAAUUGACGGGG
This 392-nucleotide ribosomal RNA is filed under the name uncultured bacterium. Its description in RNAcentral is "partial 16S ribosomal RNA". It matches the Rfam family "Bacterial small subunit ribosomal RNA", at positions 523 to 918 of the family's 1533-position model. The record is from RNAcentral.